AUACGAAGGGAGCUAGCGUUGUUCGGAAUUACUGGGCGUAAAGCGCACGUAGGCGGACUUGUUAGUCAGGGGUGAAAUCCCGGGGCCCAACCUCGGAACUGCCUUUGAUACUGCAAGUCUGGAGUCCGGAAGAGGUGGGUGGAAUUCCUAGUGUAGAGGUGAAAUUCGUAGAUAUUAGGAAGAACACCGGUGGCGAAGGCGGCCCACUGGUCCGGUACUGACGCUGAGGUGCGAAAGCGUGGGGAGCAAACAGGAUUAGAAACCCCGGUAGUCC
Molecule: ribosomal RNA, 274 nt
Filed under: uncultured bacterium
Lineage: Bacteria
Description: partial 16S ribosomal RNA
Rfam family: Bacterial small subunit ribosomal RNA
Source: RNAcentral